Molecule: ribosomal RNA, 225 nt
Filed under: uncultured bacterium
Lineage: Bacteria
Description: partial 16S ribosomal RNA
Rfam family: Bacterial small subunit ribosomal RNA
Source: RNAcentral
UAACGCGUGAGUAACCUGCCUUUCAGAGGGGGAUAACGUUCUGAAAAGAACGCUAAUACCGCAUAAGAUUGUAGUUUCGCAUGGAGCAGCAAUCAAAGGAGCAAUCCGCUGAAAGAUGGACUCGCGUCCGAUUAGAUAGUUGGCGGGGUAACGGCCCACCAAGUCGACGAUCGGUAGCCGGACUGAGAGGUUGAUCGGCCACAUUGGGACUGAGACACGGCCCAG